CAGCCGCCGCGGGAAUACGGAGGGGGCUAGCGUUGUUCGGAAUUACUGGGCGUAAAGCGCACGUAGGCGGCUUGGUAAGUUAGAGGUGAAAGCCUGGAGCUCAACUCCAGAAUUGCCUUUAAGACUGCCGAGCUAGCAGGUGAGAGAGGUAAGUGGAAUUCCGAGUGUAGAGGUGAAAUUCGUUGAUAUUCGGAAGAACACCAGUGGCGAAGGCGGCUUACUGGCUCAUACUGGACGCUGAGGUGCGAAAGCGUGGGGAGCAAACAGGAUUAGAUACCCCAGUAGUCCCUGUCUCUUAUAC
This 301-nucleotide ribosomal RNA is filed under the name uncultured bacterium. Its description in RNAcentral is "partial 16S ribosomal RNA". It matches the Rfam family "Bacterial small subunit ribosomal RNA", at positions 509 to 807 of the family's 1533-position model. The record is from RNAcentral.